GACGGAGGAUGCAAGCGUUAUCCGGAAUGAUUGGGCGUAAAGCGUCCGCAGGUGGCAGUUCAAGUCUGCUGUCAAAGACCGGGGCUUAACUUCGGAAAGGCAGUGGAAACUGAACAGCUAGAGUAUGGUAGGGGCAGAGGGAAUUCCUGGUGUAGCGGUGAAAUGCGUAGAUAUCUGGAGGAACACCGGUGGCGAAGGCGGCAUCCUGGACCGACACUGACACUGAGGAGCGAAAGCCAGGGGAGCAAACGGG
Molecule: ribosomal RNA, 253 nt
Filed under: uncultured bacterium
Lineage: Bacteria
Description: partial 16S ribosomal RNA
Rfam family: Bacterial small subunit ribosomal RNA
Source: RNAcentral